CCUACGGGAGGCAGCAGUGAGGAAUAUUGGUCAAUGGACGAGAGUCUGAACCAGCCAAGUAGCGUGAAGGAUGACUGCCCUAUGGGUUGUAAACUUCUUUUAUAUGGGAAUAAAAUGUUCCACGUGUGGGAUUUUGUAUGUACAAUAUGAAUAAGGAUCGGCUAACUACGUGCCAGCAGCCGCGGUAAUACGGAGGAUCCGAGCGUUAUCCGGAUUUAUUGGGUUUAAAGGGAGCGUAGGUGGAUUGUUAAGUCAGUUGUGAAAGUUUGCGGCUCAACCGUAAAAUUGCAGUUGAAACUGGCAGUCUUGAGUACAGUAGAGGUGGGCGGAAUUCGUGGUGUAGCGGUGAAAUGCUUAGAUAUCACGAAGAACUCCGAUUGCGAAGGCAGUUCACUGGACUGCAACUGACACUGAGGCUCGAAAGUGUGGGUAUCAAACAGGAUUAGAUACCCGAGUAGUC
Molecule: ribosomal RNA, 460 nt
Filed under: uncultured bacterium
Lineage: Bacteria
Description: partial 16S ribosomal RNA
Rfam family: Bacterial small subunit ribosomal RNA
Source: RNAcentral